UAAAAGGGUAUUGUGUCGUGCUUUGCA
RNAcentral lists this non-coding RNA (27 nucleotides) under Bombyx mori (domestic silkworm). The record is from RNAcentral. Lineage: Eukaryota; Metazoa; Arthropoda; Insecta; Lepidoptera; Bombycidae.